RNAcentral lists this ribosomal RNA (3138 nucleotides) under Skermania pinensis NBRC 15059. Its description in RNAcentral is "bacterial LSU rRNA". It matches the Rfam family "Bacterial large subunit ribosomal RNA". The record is from RNAcentral. Lineage: Bacteria; Bacillati; Actinomycetota; Actinomycetes; Mycobacteriales; Gordoniaceae.
AGAGCGUACGGUGGAUGCCUUGGCACCAGGAGCCGAUGAAGGACGUGGGAGGCUGCGAUAAGCCUCGGGGAGCUGUCAACCGAGCUGAGAUCCGAGGGUGUCCGAAUGGGGUAACCCAGCACCAGUGAUGUGGUGUUACCCGUGCCUGAAUAUAUAGGGUGCGGGAGGGAACGUGGGGAAGUGAAACAUCUCAGUACCCACAGGAAGAGAAAACAAUUGUGAUUCCGUGAGUAGUGGCGAGCGAAAGCGGAUGAGGCUAAACCAUGCGUGUGUGAUACCCGGCGGGGGUUGCGCGUGUGGGGUUGUGGGGUUGCUUGUCUCAUCACCGCUGUGGUGAGCGUCAGUGAGAAACCGUUGUGUUAACCGAAGUGGUCUGGGACGGCCCGCCAGAGUCGGUGAGAGUCCGGUAGGUGAAAACAUGACGGCUGGCGUGAGUGAUACCCGAGUAGCAGCGGGCUCGUGGAAUCUGCUGUGAAUCUGCCGGGACCACCCGGUAAGCCUGAAUACUCCCUGGUGACCGAUAGCGGACUAGUACCGUGAGGGAAAGGUGAAAAGUACCCCGGGAGGGGAGUGAAAUAGUACCUGAAACCGUGCGCUUACAAUCCGUCAGAGCUGGUGAAUCCUUCAGUGGGUUGCUGGUGAUGGCGUGCCUUUUGAAGAAUGAGCCUGCGAGUCAGUGGCAUGUGGCGAGGUUAACCCGGGUGGGGUAGCCGUAGCGAAAGCGAGUCCGAAGAGGGCGUUCGUUCCAGUGAUGGGAUGUCAGUCGCGUGUUCUGGACCCGAAGCGGAGUGAUCUACCCAUGGCCAGGGUGAAGCAGCAGUAAGAUGUUGUGGAGGCCCGAACCCACUUAGGUUGAAAACUGAGGGGAUGAGUUGUGGGUAGGGGUGAAAGGCCAAUCAAACUCCGUGAUAGCUGGUUCUCCCCGAAAUGCAUUUAGGUGCAGCGUCGCGUGUUUCCCACCGGAGGUAGAGCUACUGGAUGGUCUAGGGGGCCUACAAGCUUACCGAAAUCAGCCAAACUCCGAAUGCCGGUGGGUGAGAGCGUGGCAGUGAGACUGCGGGCGAUAAGGUUCGUAGUCGAGAGGGAAACAGCCCAGAUCGCCGGCUAAGGCCCCUAAGCGUGUACUAAGUGGAAAAGGAUGUGGAGUCGCGAAGACAACCAGGAGGUUGGCUUAGAAGCAGCCACCCUUGAAAGAGUGCGUAAUAGCUCACUGGUCAAGUGGUUCUGCGCCGACAAUGUAGCGGGGCUCAAGUACACCGCCGAAGCCGCGGCACUCACACGUUAGCUUGCUCCUGCCUUGCGGGGUGGGAGCCAGGUGUGUGGGUGGGUAGGGGAGCGUCCUGCAUCCUGGGAAGCCACGGCGUGAGCCAGUGGUGGAGGGUGUGGGAGUGAGAAUGCAGGCAUGAGUAGCGAAAGACGAGUGAGAAACUCGUCCGCCGAAUGACCAAGGGUUCCUGGGGCAGGUUAAUCCGCCCAGGGUGAGUCGGGACCUAAGGCGAGGCCGACAGGCGUAGUCGAUGGACAACGGGUUGAUAUUCCCGUACCCGUGUAUCCGCGCCCGAUGGCGAAUCAUCUGUGCUAACCGCCCAAAUCCUGAUCGAUCACCUUCGGGUGACGUGACGGGGCUGCGCGGGACCCUGGGUGUAGUAGUCAAGUGAUGGGGUGACGCAGGAAGGUAGCUGGGCCAGUCGAUGGUUGUACUGGUGUAAGCCUGUAGGGCGAAUCGCAGGUAAAUCCGUGGUUCAUACAGCCUGAGAGGUGACGCGUAGCCGAAUGAGGCGAAUUCAGUGAUCCUAUGCUGCCGAGAAAAGCCUCUAACGAGUUGAUACACGGCCCGUACCCCAAACCGACACAGGUGGUCAGGUAGAGAAUACCGAGGCGAUCGAGAGAACUGUGGUUAAGGAACUCGGCAAAAUGCCCCCGUAACUUCGGGAGAAGGGGGACCACGUCUGGUGAACACCCUUGCGGUGGGAGCUGGGUGUGGUCGCAGAGACCAGAGAGAAGCGACUGUUUACUAAAAACACAGGUCCGUGCGAAGUCGUAAGACGAUGUAUACGGACUGACGCCUGCCCGGUGCCGGAAGGUUAAGAGGACCGGUUAGCCCGUGAGGGCGACGCUGAGAAUUUAAGCCCCGGUAAACGGCGGUGGUAACUAUAACCAUCCUAAGGUAGCGAAAUUCCUUGUCGGGUAAGUUCCGACCUGCACGAAUGGCGUAACGACUUCUCUGCUGUCUCAACCACAGACUCGGCGAAAUUGCAUUACGAGUAAAGAUGCUCGUUACGCGCGGCAGGACGAAAAGACCCCGGGACCUUCACUACAGCUUGGUAUUGGUGUUCGGUACGGUUUGUGUAGGAUAGGUGGGAGACUGUGAAACCCGCACGCCAGUGUGGGUGGAGUCAUUGUUGAAAUACCACUCUGACCGUAGUGGACAUCUAACCUCGGACCCUGAUCGGGUUCAGGGACAGUGCCUGGUGGGUAGUUUAACUGGGGCGGUUGCCUCCCAAAAUGUAACGGAGGCGCCCAAAGGUUCCCUCAGCCUGGUUGGCAAUCAGGUGUCGAGUGCAAGUGCACAAGGGAGCUUGACUGUGAGACAGACAUGUCGAGCAGGGACGAAAGUCGGGACUAGUGAUCCGGCACCCACGUGUGGAAGUGGUGUCGCUCAACGGAUAAAAGGUACCCCGGGGAUAACAGGCUGAUCUUCCCCAAGAGUCCAUAUCGACGGGAUGGUUUGGCACCUCGAUGUCGGCUCGUCGCAUCCUGGGGCUGGAGUAGGUCCCAAGGGUUGGGCUGUUCGCCCAUUAAAGCGGCACGCGAGCUGGGUUUAGAACGUCGUGAGACAGUUCGGUCUCUAUCCGCCGCGCGCGUAGGAAACUUGAGGAAACCUGUCCCUAGUACGAGAGGACCGGGACGGACGAACCUCUGGUGUGCCAGUUGUUCCGCCAGGAGCACCGCUGGUUGGCCACGUUCGGAAGGGAUAACCGCUGAAAGCAUCUAAGCGGGAAGCCCGUUCCAAGAUGAGGUUUCCCCACCCCUUAGAGGGUGUAAGGCCCCCCACAGACCAUGGGGUUGAUAGGCCAGAACUGGAAGCUCAGCAAUGAGUGCAGGUGACUGGUACUAACCGGCCGACAACUUACAACA